GGGUUGUGAGGUUAAGCGACUAAGCGUACACGGUGGAUGCCCUGGCAGUCAGAGGCGAUGAAGGACGUGCUAAUCUGCGAUAAGCGUCGGUAAGGUGAUAUGAACCGUUAUAACCGGCGAUUUCCGAAUGGGGAAACCCAGUGUGUUUCGACACACUAUCAUUAACUGAAUCCAUAGGUUAAUGAGGCGAACCGGGGGAACUGAAACAUCUAAGUACCCCGAGGAAAAGAAAUCAACCGAGAUUCCCCCAGUAGCGGCGAGCGAACGGGGAGCAGCCCAGAGCCUGAAUCAGUGUGUGUGUUAGUGGAAGCGUCUGGAAAGGCGCGCGAUACAGGGUGACAGCCCCGUACACAAAAAUGCACAUGCUGUGAGCUCGAUGAGUAGGGCGGGACACGUGGUAUCCUGUCUGAAUAUGGGGGGACCAUCCUCCAAGGCUAAAUACUCCUGACUGACCGAUAGUGAACCAGUACCGUGAGGGAAAGGCGAAAAGAACCCCGGCGAGGGGAGUGAAAAAGAACCUGAAACCGUGUACGUACAAGCAGUGGGAGCACGCUUAGGCGUGUGACUGCGUACCUUUUGUAUAAUGGGUCAGCGACUUAUAUUCUGUAGCAAGGUUAACCGAAUAGGGGAGCCGAAGGGAAACCGAGUCUUAACUGGGCGUUAAGUUGCAGGGUAUAGACCCGAAACCCGGUGAUCUAGCCAUGGGCAGGUUGAAGGUUGGGUAACACUAACUGGAGGACCGAACCGACUAAUGUUGAAAAAUUAGCGGAUGACUUGUGGCUGGGGGUGAAAGGCCAAUCAAACCGGGAGAUAGCUGGUUCUCCCCGAAAGCUAUUUAGGUAGCGCCUCGUGAAUUCAUCUCCGGGGGUAGAGCACUGUUUCGGCAAGGGGGUCAUCCCGACUUACCAACCCGAUGCAAACUGCGAAUACCGGAGAAUGUUAUCACGGGAGACACACGGCGGGUGCUAACGUCCGUCGUGAAGAGGGAAACAACCCAGACCGCCAGCUAAGGUCCCAAAGUCAUGGUUAAGUGGGAAACGAUGUGGGAAGGCCCAGACAGCCAGGAUGUUGGCUUAGAAGCAGCCAUCAUUUAAAGAAAGCGUAAUAGCUCACUGGUCGAGUCGGCCUGCGCGGAAGAUGUAACGGGGCUAAACCAUGCACCGAAGCUGCGGCAGCGACGCUGAUGUGUUGUUGGGUAGGGGAGCGUUCUGUAAGCCUGUGAAGGUGUACUGUGAGGUAUGCUGGAGGUAUCAGAAGUGCGAAUGCUGACAUAAGUAACGAUAAAGCGGGUGAAAAGCCCGCUCGCCGGAAGACCAAGGGUUCCUGUCCAACGUUAAUCGGGGCAGGGUGAGUCGACCCCUAAGGCGAGGCCGAAAGGCGUAGUCGAUGGGAAACAGGUUAAUAUUCCUGUACUUGGUGUUACUGCGAAGGGGGGACGGAGAAGGCUAUGUUGGCCGGGCGACGGUUGUCCCGGUUUAAGCGUGUAGGCUGGUUUUCCAGGCAAAUCCGGAAAAUCAAGGCUGAGGCGUGAUGACGAGGCACUACGGUGCUGAAGCAACAAAUGCCCUGCUUCCAGGAAAAGCCUCUAAGCAUCAGGUAACAUCAAAUCGUACCCCAAACCGACACAGGUGGUCAGGUAGAGAAUACCAAGGCGCUUGAGAGAACUCGGGUGAAGGAACUAGGCAAAAUGGUGCCGUAACUUCGGGAGAAGGCACGCUGAUAUGUAGGUGAGGUCCCUCGCGGAUGGAGCUGAAAUCAGUCGAAGAUACCAGCUGGCUGCAACUGUUUAUUAAAAACACAGCACUGUGCAAACACGAAAGUGGACGUAUACGGUGUGACGCCUGCCCGGUGCCGGAAGGUUAAUUGAUGGGGUUAGCGCAAGCGAAGCUCUUGAUCGAAGCCCCGGUAAACGGCGGCCGUAACUAUAACGGUCCUAAGGUAGCGAAAUUCCUUGUCGGGUAAGUUCCGACCUGCACGAAUGGCGUAAUGAUGGCCAGGCUGUCUCCACCCGAGACUCAGUGAAAUUGAACUCGCUGUGAAGAUGCAGUGUACCCGCGGCAAGACGGAAAGACCCCGUGAACCUUUACUAUAGCUUGACACUGAACAUUGAGCCUUGAUGUGUAGGAUAGGUGGGAGGCUUAGAAGUGUGGACGCCAGUCUGCAUGGAGCCGACCUUGAAAUACCACCCUUUAAUGUUUGAUGUUCUAACGUUGACCCGUAAUCCGGGUUGCGGACAGUGUCUGGUGGGUAGUUUGACUGGGGCGGUCUCCUCCUAAAGAGUAACGGAGGAGCACGAAGGUUGGCUAAUCCUGGUCGGACAUCAGGAGGUUAGUGCAAUGGCAUAAGCCAGCUUGACUGCGAGCGUGACGGCGCGAGCAGGUGCGAAAGCAGGUCAUAGUGAUCCGGUGGUUCUGAAUGGAAGGGCCAUCGCUCAACGGAUAAAAGGUACUCCGGGGAUAACAGGCUGAUACCGCCCAAGAGUUCAUAUCGACGGCGGUGUUUGGCACCUCGAUGUCGGCUCAUCACAUCCUGGGGCUGAAGUAGGUCCCAAGGGUAUGGCUGUUCGCCAUUUAAAGUGGUACGCGAGCUGGGUUUAGAACGUCGUGAGACAGUUCGGUCCCUAUCUGCCGUGGGCGCUGGAGAACUGAGGGGGGCUGCUCCUAGUACGAGAGGACCGGAGUGGACGCAUCACUGGUGUUCGGGUUGUCAUGCCAAUGGCACUGCCCGGUAGCUAAAUGCGGAAGAGAUAAGUGCUGAAAGCAUCUAAGCACGAAACUUGCCCCGAGAUGAGUUCUCCCUGACCCUUUAAGGGUCCUGAAGGAACGUUGAAGACGACGACGUUGAUAGGCCGGGUGUGUAAGCGCAGCGAUGCGUUGAGCUAACCGGUACUAAUGAACCGUGAGGCUUAACCUUACAACGCCGAAGCUGUU
Molecule: ribosomal RNA, 2930 nt
Filed under: Escherichia coli
Lineage: Bacteria; Pseudomonadati; Pseudomonadota; Gammaproteobacteria; Enterobacterales; Enterobacteriaceae
Description: 23S ribosomal RNA
Rfam family: Bacterial large subunit ribosomal RNA
Source: RNAcentral